GGCACGGUGGUGUAGUGGUUAGCACUAUUGCCUUACAGGAAGAAGGUCGUGGGUUCGAAUCAGGCCUGGGGCC
Molecule: non-coding RNA, 73 nt
Organism: Gymnothorax javanicus (giant moray)
Lineage: Eukaryota; Metazoa; Chordata; Actinopteri; Anguilliformes; Muraenidae
Source: the annotation of a GenBank genome assembly